This 1299-nucleotide ribosomal RNA is filed under the name Poecilimon werneri. Its description in RNAcentral is "16S ribosomal RNA". The stretch from base 559 to 1299 matches the Rfam family "Archaeal large subunit ribosomal RNA", at positions 1423 to 2805 of the family's 2987-position model. Lineage: Eukaryota; Metazoa; Arthropoda; Insecta; Orthoptera; Tettigoniidae. The record is from RNAcentral.
AGAGUAUUAUUUAAGUUAUUUGGUGAGAGAUUAUUAAUAAAAAUAAUUUUAAGGAAUGUAUUUUAGUAUAGUUUAUGGAAUUUAAAAAGUGAAUAAUAGAGUAGUAGUACUGUGGAGGAAAUAUGAAAUAGAUGAAAUAUUUAUUGGGAUGGAAGAAGAAUAUAAUUUGUACCUUGGGUAUCAGGGUUUAUUAAGUAAUGGUAAUGAUUUAAAAGUCUCGGAUUAAAAAGAGUUAAAAUAUAUAAUAGUUAAUGUGUUAUUAUUAUUAUUAAUAUUAUUUUAGAAAUGAAAUGUUAAACGGUUUUUAAGUUAUCUAGUUUUCUAAGAAAUGAAUUUAAUUCAUGAUAUUAAAAGUAAAUAUUUAAUUUAUGAUAAUAGUUUAUUUUUAAUAUCAAAUGUAUAAAGGGAUAAGCUUUUAUACAAGUGUUAUAAGUUGUGAAUAAUUGUGAAGAGUUGUAGGCUUUAAAUUAGCCAUCUAUGAAAUAAUGUUAUAAAUUGUUUUGAGAGAAGAUUAUUUUUUAAUAAUUUUAGAUUGUUUAUUGGAAUAUUAUAUUAAAUGGGUUAGUAUAAGUAAUGAUGAUGAAAUGAGUAUAUAAAAUUGUUUAUUUGAUUUAGUACGGAAAUUUAUAGUAAGGAACUAGGCAAUUUAUCACUCGCCUGUUUAUCAAAAACAUCUCCUUUUGGUUAUAUAUAAGGUAGGGCCUGCCCACUGAAAGUAUUUUGAAGGGCCGCGGUAUUAUGACCGUGCAAAGGUAGCAUAAUCAUUAGUCUUUUAAUUGAAGGCUGGAAUGAAUGGUUUGACGAGGUGAUGACUGUCUCAUUAUAAUAUAUAGAAGUUAACUUUUAAGUUAAAAGGCUUAAAUUUUGAUGGAGGACGAGAAGACCCUAUAGAGCUUUAUAUAUAGAUUUAAGUUUGUAUUUGGUAGUUUAUUAGAGUUUAGAUUGAUUAUAUUAUGUUGGGGUGACAUGAAGAUAAAAUGAACUCUUCAUUUUAGUAACAUUGAUGAAUGGGUAUAUGAUCCAUUUUUAGUGAUCAUAAGAUUAAGUUACCUUAGGGAUAACAGCGUAAUUUUUCUUGAGAGUUCAUAUCAACAGAAAAGAUUGCGACCUCGAUGUUGGAUUAAGAAGUAUAAUUAGAUGCAGCAGUUUAGUUAAUAGGUCUGUUCGACCUUUAAAUUCUUACAUGAUCUGAGUUCAGACCGGUGUAAGCCAGGUCGGUUUCUAUCCUUAUUGUUUUUUGAUACUUUAGUACGAAAGGACCAAGUAUUGUAAAUAUUUUAUAGAAUUUGAUUAUUAGUA